GGCCUUUCGUUUCUGUUAAUGCAAGUGUGCUGUGCUCUCUGUUCUCUCUGAAAUCUCUUCUGUGUGGAAGAGAUUUUAGGGUUUUUUUCAUGUAUUUUGAUGUUGUCUGAGGCAGGCUGUGGAGAUGCAGGGUGGAAAUGCUUGCCAAGUUGGUGUUUGGGCUGACUAACAGCAUUAGAGUAGAGCAACUCUGCUGGUGAUAGCCCAUAUAUCUCCCUUAGGCACAGAGUAAAGGCAAAGAAACCAUUUGCUAGCUGGCUCCCCCACCCUUUUUCCCGUUGUCCUUUCCUUUGUGACAGCGGGACAGUCAGAGUUUCUGUACUCCGUGCUCCAGCCACUGCAGGUCUGGGAGCUGCCUGCCCAGCUUGGAAAUUCCAGUCUCUCACCAAGACCUCUCCCCUAGCUAGUGAUGAGCUGCAAGAACUGUGCAGGCUGAUUGAUCUGAAAUAGAGGACUGGAAAACAAAAUAAAAACCAAUUCAGAUAAUUGUUAUGGCUUCUCCAUUAACCCCUGAGACUUAUUCGUGUAGCACUGGGCACAUCUGUCAAUGCUCCACUGAGACUCUUAAAAUGCAAUGCAGUAUUCUAGAGACUCCUGAGGGGAGGAUGAGGAGAAAAAAUGCUUUAGGGGUUCACCAUGUUUCUGUACCACAAACAGAUUUGCUUUGUAUUGCAUUUUUGUUACUUAUUCCACAAGAUUGCUGCAUAACCAGUAUCAAUAAAAUAUAUUCCAAAAAUAGAAGAAAAUGUAUCAUUAAACAUGGUGAUUUUAAGUGGAAGCUUUUGGACUAGUUUCUAUUGUAAUGUGACGUUUCCCUUGUUUUGCUCUCCUUGCGCAUCUUUCCUUUCCCUUGGGGAUCUGUUAACCAAGUAUUGCUUGGAUACAUGCUUUUUGCUUUGCUGUCAUGCAAAAUUUGAAAAGUUUUUGGUGUGAAUUUUUUUUGUGCAGGUCACUUUUCACUGCAAGAUGUUAACAAAUGUUUUGCAUCUCACUUAGAAUCAGACCAGUCAGAUUUUUUUUUUAAUUAAUAAAAAAAUUUAUUAAUUGAAA
This is a non-coding RNA of Sturnus vulgaris (Common starling), 1050 nucleotides long. NCBI's taxonomy places the organism in Eukaryota, Metazoa, Chordata, Aves, Passeriformes, Sturnidae. The record is from RefSeq and is a predicted model, not a curated record.